Molecule: long non-coding RNA, 216 nt
Organism: Haliotis rubra (blacklip abalone)
Lineage: Eukaryota; Metazoa; Mollusca; Gastropoda; Lepetellida; Haliotidae
Exons: 2
Source: RefSeq, a predicted model, not a curated record
AUUAUGUGUUUCAGCGCCAUGUAUGGCCGGUGGCUUGAACUGUAGGGCGGUCUGCGCUAUAGCAAAUAGAAUACCCGCUGGUUGUCCUGGAGCUUUAUUCUGCUGCAUUAUCUAAAGAAGAAGAAUGGUGUUUGUUCUAUACUGAAGGUUCCGCUACUGUCAUUAUCUAUGUACAUAUAUGUUGUUGAUGAAAUAAAUAUGAUGUCACAUAUCGUU